Molecule: ribosomal RNA, 492 nt
Filed under: uncultured bacterium
Lineage: Bacteria
Description: partial 16S ribosomal RNA
Rfam family: Bacterial small subunit ribosomal RNA
Source: RNAcentral
AGUGAGCGCUGGCGGUAGGCCUAACACAUGCAAGUCGAACGGCAGCACAGUAAGAGCUUGCUCUUACGGGUGGCGAGUGGCGGACGGGUGAGGAAUACAUCGGAAUCUACUUUUUCGUGGGGGAUAACGUAGGGAAACUUACGCUAAUACCGCAUACGACCUACGGGUGAAAGCAGGGGAUCUUCGGACCUUGCGCGUUUGAAUGAGCCGAUGUCGGAUUAGCUAGUUGGCGGGGUAAAGGCCCACCAAGGCGACGAUCCGUAGCUGGUCCGAGAGGAUGAUCAGCCACAUUGGAACGGAGGCACGGUCCAGACUCCUACGGGAGGCAGCAGUGGGGAAUAUUGGACAAUGGGCGCAAGCCUGAUCCAGCCAUACCGCGUGGGUGAAGAAGGCCUUCGGGUUGUAAAGCCCUUUUGUUGGGAAAGAAAAGCAGCAGGUUAAUACCCCGCUGUUCUGACGGUACCCAAAGAAUAAGCACCGGCUAACUUCGUG